UGUGAGAUGGUGAUGAACAUCCUGGGGUGAAGCCAGCCCUCACUGCCAAAAGGUGACUGCAUGUGGAAGAGGGAAACCAGCACAAAAUCCUUCCAUCAUUGAUUCCACUGCCAUGGCCCGGCUGUGGCUCCAUCUCUGCAUCUCCGUCCAGAUCCUAGGUUUCUGUACAAAUCUAUUUUUGUCCCAGACUCCAGGGAAUAUUUUAGCCCAAACUAAUGGUAAAACAGAAAUCUUCUGUGAGCUGAAGAGGGAGCACACUGGGGUGUACUGGUACCGCUGGAGCCAGAAGAGGCAAAAUUUCGAAUUCUUAGUAUUUUCCAACAUAUUGGGCAAAGCCAUCUACGGCACGAACAUCAGCCAGGACAAGUUUAGCAUCCACGGGACAAGUGCACACAGCUCCUGCAGCCUGCACAUCAGCCACCUCCAUGCCUCAGACAACGGAACCUAUUACUGCUCCAUUUCCCAGUCCUCCCAGCUCUUCCUGGGCAGUGGGACACGACUCCGUGUGGUUGAUGUUCUGCCUUUGCCUCCGAAGGCCACUCAGGAACCAAUCUCCAAAAAGCCCAGGAAGCACAUAACCAAAAGAAAAGCUGCUGGCGAGAAAGGUGCCUGCAGCCCCCUGGUCUGGGUCCCUUUGGCCACGAGUGUUCUGGUCCUCCUGCUGAGCCUCAUCCCUACUGCCUACCGCCUCUACCGUAUACGAAGGAGGCUGUGGCUUCGCAUCCACAGGCAGUAAAUCCUACCGGAUCUUUCCAUCUUGUGCAGGCAGGGAGAAGCCCCGGAUUCUCCCCUGCACAGUUCUGAGCCCUGCCUGGAUGUGACAUGUGAAGGAUGCUACAGGGGGCAGACAUGGGCUUGCAUGGCAGACAGACACUGCUUUCCUGUGACAGACCAUGCUUUGAACAUCUUUCCUUGACACAACAGCUGCCAACUGGACUGGGACGGAUCCUGCAGUGCGCUGAGCAGUUCUCCAUGGACCCUGAGCAGGGUGAACGCUGCGGCUGGCUCUGCGCUGGGGGCACCGGGGCUGCUGUACCAAAGGGAUUCAGACGGACUGGAAAGAUGCUCCGAGAGCGUCUUGCUUUUAGUUUGCUCCUGCUGAAUGCUGGUUGGUAAGACUUUGCUAACUAACACUCUGAGAGCCACCAGCAGCCGGCAGGAGCAGGUCACUGCUCAGCUUGUAAAGGCCCUGAACGGGCACAUUCAUUAGAAACAGAGAAUACAUCACUCCAUCAUUUCGCUCUGCAGGCUGAGGUCUUGUGGCCGUGCCCAGUGUAGGACACAGCUAUGUGACAUGCAAAGAGCCACAGCCUCUGCCCGAGCAAAAAUCAAAGCAGAAGAGCAGCUCCAGGGGGAGGAAGGCUGACAGGGGCUCCUCUCCCACAGGAGAAUGCAAACAGCCAGGAGUGGGAGAGGAAAGCCAGGGAAAGCAAUGGACACAAGGCCAAACACCAGGCAGAGCCUGAACACAAACAUCGCCUCUGAGAGCAAACAGAGGAGACCGGGGGCUGGCGCUGAGCCCAGCAGCACCUCACAGCCGGCAAAAACUGCCCUGAGCAACCCCAGAGUGUGCUGAGCCCUGAGAAAUGUCUGCCUGUGCUGAGUCCUAAGUGGCAUGUGCUGAGCCCUGAGAAAUACCUGUGUGUGCUGAUCACUAAGCAAUGCUCGUGUGCGCUAAGCCCCAAGCACUGACCAUGUGUGCUGAGCCCCGAGCGAUACCCGUAUGUGCCGAGCCCUAAAUGAUGCUCACAUGUGCAGAGCGUUGUUACGCUCUCUUGUGCUGAGCCCCAAGCAGUGUCUCGCAUAUGCUGAGCCCCAAUUAAUAUUUGUGUGUGCUGAGCCCUAAGUGAUGCUCACAUGUUCUAAGCCCAGAGCAAUGCCUUUGUAUGCUGAGCCCCAAGGAAUGCCAGAAGCAGGAUAGGUUUCCCCAGGGAUGUUAGCAAGCCUCGGCCCUUGCCUGAACCUGUAAGGCAGACAUGGGACUGGAAAUUCAAGACCGGACUUGGAAAUUUGGUGUCUUGCUGAGCUCUGGCAGUGGGUGCUCGCUCUCAGACGCAUCCCCGGUGCCACAUCUCUGCUGAGGCUGUAUCAGCUGCAGUGAGGACAAGGGAAAGGUGGUCCAGACACCUCCUGGCUCUGGCAUGGGGGGAGUCCAGCAGCUACUGUUACUGCUGGGGAAGCACAGGGAUCUGCUGUCCUGCACAUUGCACGUGUCCUUGAAGCUGCUCGUGUGCCAAGGGCUGAUGUGGCUCCAAAUUCCCCAGGGCUGGAGCAAACCAAGAAUGGCAGUGGCACAGCAUCAUCCCUCUGGCCGUACCUUCCCCUCCAUCCAGGGCAGAGGGAGCUGUUGCUCCCCACUUUAACACAGUUUCUUCCAGAUGGCCUGGUCUCAAACCUGGCCACAGGUGCUCCUUGCAACAGGGAUUUCCCCUAAAUGCCACGGGAAUAAAGCUGGUACUGGACCACACCGAGCUGCUUUCCCAGGCUGCGAUAUUUACCCAGGCUCUCAGGCUGCACAAAUGACGGCUGCAAGGAACUCGAUCCCCAGAGCCCAUCCCACCAGAGAUGCUGUUGGGAAGGGGCCCUGAGCAUCUCUGCUUCCAACACAUCACACCAGCAGCUUAUUUUAGCCUCUGUGAAAGCUCCUAUGAAAUAAACCCACCGUUUUCCUACCCUGCAAGCACUCAGCAGACAGAGCUUCACCCCAGGAGCAGACGGGUUUCAUGAGAUGUAUGUUUUAGACACCAGCUAUAAGGAAACCCCUUGGAAACUUCCCGUGGGCAAAGGUUUAUUCUUUCUAAAAGAGAGUUUUCCCCUCUGCCUGCAGCUGCUUUUGAGAUCCCAGAUCUGUUUCCCAUGCUUGAGGCAUCCUGACCUUAGUGUCUAUCCCUGCUUCCCCUCUCCCACCUCUUGCCCAGCGCAGGAGAUGGCCUCCCAUGGCCAGACAGCUGGGGCCGCAUGUGGCAGCAGAAGGCAGACUGCAACAGCCCAAUCCUUCUCUUCCACUGGAAGGUGAGUGGGCAGAGAUAACCCUGCCUGUUCCACUUCUUUUUCCUCCAUCCCCAUGCUCAGACCAUCCAAGCAGUGUCCAGUCCUUACUGAAACCACCCAGGAUGGCAACAUCUUGCCUUGACACACUUCAAUCACCAGAUUAAUCCAACUCAGAGAGUCCUCAUUCAAACAAAGCACAUUUACCUCUUGGUUCUCUGCCUGUCAAUGAAUAAUUUUAACAGGCAGCAAAGAAUUUGCUCAGAUCCUGAAUUUCCCAAGUUGGCUUUCUUCCUCAUUUGUAAACUGGAAAGAAAACUCUCCAAAACCCCCCAAAACCCAAAACCCCAGCAUCACCUGCAUGCAGUGAAAACAGGGGAGGACAGCAACAGUCAAGGAUGCUGCAUGUUGUGUUGAAAUACAGGAUUGGGCAGUUUAACAAUGGAAAUUAUGAAAAAAUUCUGGCAGUAAUUGCUAUGACCAUCAACAGGGUGAUUUAAGACAGUAACUUUGAGAGAGAUUUUAGUGGAAGGUUUCACAACUCUGACAGCCAGUGGGAAAAAAAAUACCUCUUGUUUCAUUGGCUUUUUUCCCAGACCAUACAUAAAAAAGAAACAGAAGCGAUAAUAAACCAUGCUUUAAUGACUGAGAAAACGAGCCUGGUACUAUGAUAUCUAUAGCUUUUUAGGUUUUCUUUCCUACCUCAUCACCGUGCUGAGAGCACAACGACCAUAGCAGGCAAGGAUCAAGAAUGACACGUUACAGCAAGUGCAGAAGGAGGAAUGCUUCCAUCAUGAAAGCGAAAGAGAGAGAUUUCUGUGCAUCUCUGCUAAUGGCAUGGUGCCCAGAUCUAUGGAGGGAGAGGUACAGGGAUGGAUCAGCCUUCUCCUCUCUCCUACUGUCACCCUCCUCCCCGCAGUGAGGAACAUCCAUUCCUAGAAAGGAAAACAAUGGGAUUUUAUAUAUCAUCCCAAACCCUCACGUGAGCAGUUAAUAAAUGAUGUCACCUUAAGGGACAAAAGGAACUGCUGCAAAAAAACUUGAACAAAGACAAAAAGCCUUUGAACAAGACAAGGAGGCGUUUGUAGAUCUAUAGGUUUAAGUAUAAAGUGUUACCCUUGUUGUAACCACCCCCGCAAAUCAUCAGGCAAGGAAUUAUAAGAAAGGUCACAAAUUACACGUUGCAAUAGUCUGUUAUUUUUAUGAUUUUACUUUCUUUUAUAUCCUAUAUUUAUAUUCUCUAUAUAUCCCAUGUAGAACACAUUCUAUAUUUUAAAAGACUACAGUCGCUCUUUCGACAAAGAGCGUAUGCACGUCUUGACAGCAUCAACAUAUUCAAGGAACAGAGAGCGGAGCAGAAAUACAGGUUUUUCAGGCAUUGCUGUAACAGUCUCCACGGUUUUGUAGAACUUCUGUACAUGGAUUUAAAAAAAAAACGUGUCAGCCUUUCCAGAACAUCUCAGUUGCUGAUCAAUAUUGGCAGUGCGCAGUUUUUCUUUAUUCUUUAAAUCCAGACAUUCCUAUGAGGAGAACCUGUGAUUCUAUAAGUGAAUAUAAACUGGGUGCACUUGAAAACAUUAGAUUGAAAACACUCCAGUGACCUGAGAUUGGAAGUGAUAUGUGAUUUUAAAGGUUCUAAAUAUAAAAAUUCUGCAGUCAUAAACACAGAUGAGUUGGGCAUGAUAAUGGAGAACGGGAGAGCAACAUCUCUAUUGGAUGAUUAAACUGCAAAUCCCUGCAAAGAGAAAGGACAUAUGUAUAUAUAUGGGUGCUGGUUAGAUUCAUUCUGAUUUAUCCUCGAGCAGAAUAGCUCUGUGCACUGUACCUGCUUGUUAAAUAUCUCCUCCUAGCAGGAAAAACAGAUUCACAGCACGACUUCCAGGCAUCCAGACCAGACUUGUUAAACAGGAAUUUCUAAACGCUUUUUUCUGCCUCUAUAUAAAAACAGAUACACCCCAGAAGCUGCAAAGAAAUUUCUCAGUUUUCACUUGCUGUUCCUGAAUGCCAUUAGUGCAUAAACACAGCCCUUUCGCUACCUGCGUGCAGGGGCAAGGCUCUCCCCCAUCUUUCAGAAGGGUCCAAUACACAAAAGCCCUCCGGCACUCACAGCACACGCCGGCUCUGCUAUUUCAUAUAUCAAACUGUUUACAGGAGCCUUAAAGACAGAAAUACUUGAUCAUCUCCAUUGACAGUUAUUAAUAUAAACAAUAUUAUAACCAUAUAUAA
Molecule: RNA transcript, 5214 nt
Organism: Cuculus canorus (common cuckoo)
Lineage: Eukaryota; Metazoa; Chordata; Aves; Cuculiformes; Cuculidae
Gene: CD8B
Gene name: CD8 subunit beta
Exons: 6
Source: RefSeq, a predicted model, not a curated record